This is a long non-coding RNA of Oryzias melastigma (Indian medaka), 780 nucleotides long. RefSeq lists it as uncharacterized. The transcript is spliced from 2 exons. The record is from RefSeq and is a predicted model, not a curated record. NCBI's taxonomy places the organism in Eukaryota, Metazoa, Chordata, Actinopteri, Beloniformes, Adrianichthyidae.
CAUAAGGCUAAAAUAUUCGCAAAACUUAAAAUCAGCCUAAAACACUGAAAAAAGCCUAAAUUAGCCAAAACAGGUAGUUUGUAGCUGAAAUGUUAGCUAAAACCGAAAAUAGCCUAAAAGUCCUUUGGAUCUGCCAAAACGAAACGUCGAAAAAGCUAGCAUAAAAAGAGCUAAAUAGUUGAAGGAGCUGAAGAGCUACGGACGUCAAAAAACAAACUGAAGAAAAAUAAUUAUAAUGAAGAAAUAAAGAAAAAAUGAAAAAAAGGAAAAGUGUAUCUCUAUUAAACCAAUAUUCUAUCCUCUCCCGUCAUAGUUCAGACUGCAGAAGGAUGGAAUACAAAGUCUAUCUGGGUCUCUGAUAGUGUGUAGGGUGCCGGGCCAAAUGUGGAUGUGGGCCUGAUCCGGCCCGUGGGCCGUAGUUUGGGGACCCCUGCUGUAAAACGUACUAGUUUUCUCUCAAAUGUCAACUCAAUCACCUUUGCUGUUUCUCUGCGGCUGUAAGAUGGAGUAAAAAUGAGGCGUUUCGUUCUUCACCGGGUGACUCGACGGGACGUCAGUCAUCGCCUGACUCCAAGACUGCUGCUGCAGGGACACAAAUUCCAGCACUGGAGCCGGGACGUCCGAUUGGUGCGUGAAGAGACAGCGGAUCUGACACGGCAGAGACGACUGCUGUAAGCUCAGAUGCUCAUAAUAUGUGUAAUCUAACAGAAAAAAAUAAACAUUAAAAAGGAUUCAGUUUUAAAUGUGUUAAAUAAAUCAAAUAAAUCUACCUGAAUCGUA